This 301-nucleotide ribosomal RNA is filed under the name uncultured bacterium. RNAcentral's name for it is "partial 16S ribosomal RNA". It matches the Rfam family "Bacterial small subunit ribosomal RNA", at positions 509 to 809 of the family's 1533-position model. The record is from RNAcentral.
CAGUCGCCGCGGGAAAACGGAGGGAGCUAGCGUUAUUCGGAAUUACUGGGCGUAAAGCGCACGUAGGCGGCUUUGUAAGUUAGAGGUGAAAGCCUGGAGCUCAACUCCAGAAUUGCCUUUAAGACUGCAUCGCUUGAAUCCAGGAGAGGUGAGUGGAAUUCCGAGUGUAGAGGUGAAAUUCGUAGAUAUUCGGAAGAACACCAGUGGCGAAGGCGGCUCACUGGACUGGUAUUGACGCUGAGGUGCGAAAGCGUGGGGAGCAAACAGGAUUAGAUACCCCCGUAGUCCCUGUCUCUUAUAU